Molecule: long non-coding RNA, 216 nt
Filed under: Elaeis guineensis (African oil palm)
Lineage: Eukaryota; Viridiplantae; Streptophyta; Magnoliopsida; Arecales; Arecaceae
Description: long non-coding RNA (EGUI_LNC010855)
Source: RNAcentral
GGGAACAUCCAUUCAGACGGGGAACAUCCGUUCAAAUAUUUUAUAUUUAACAAAUACAAAUAUGAACUUAGAUAAUAGCUGAAUAAUUAAAUACAUAUCCAUAUUUUCUAUCCACAAGGCAAACAAAGAUAUUGAUGGUACAUUUACAAUGUCCUUACUUUCUUAGGGAAUGUGAAUGUAAAUUGAUUAUUUGCUAUAUCGAUAUAUGUUCAAGAG